UGGGGGAUAUUGCACAAUGGGCGAAAGCCUGAUGCAGCGACGCCGCGUGGGGGAUGAAGGCCUUCGGGUUGUAAACUUCUUUUGCUCUGAACAAGGCAUGCCUUUGGGGUGUGUUGAGUGUAGGGGUUGAUUAGUGCCGGCUAACUACGUGCCAGCAGCCGCGGUAAUACGUAGGGCGCGAGCGUUGUCCGGAAUUAUUGGGCGUAAAGGGCUUGUAGGUGGCUGGUUGCGUCUGUCGUGAAAGCUCAUGGCUUAACUGUGGGUUUGCGGUGGGUACGGGCUGGCUUGAGUGCAGGAGGGGAGGCUGGAAUUCCUGGUGUAGCGGUGGAAUGCGCAGAUAUCAGGAGGAAUACCGGUGGCGAAGGCGGGUCUCUGGGCUGUUACUGACGCUGAGGAGCGAAAGCGUGGGGAGCGAACAGG
RNAcentral lists this ribosomal RNA (420 nucleotides) under Fusobacteriota bacterium. RNAcentral's name for it is "Fusobacteria bacterium partial 16S ribosomal RNA". It matches the Rfam family "Bacterial small subunit ribosomal RNA", at positions 355 to 776 of the family's 1533-position model. Lineage: Bacteria; Fusobacteriati; Fusobacteriota. The record is from RNAcentral.